Molecule: ribosomal RNA, 273 nt
Filed under: Triticum aestivum (bread wheat)
Lineage: Eukaryota; Viridiplantae; Streptophyta; Magnoliopsida; Poales; Poaceae
Description: partial small subunit ribosomal RNA
Source: RNAcentral
AUGGAGGAGUACGGGCGCCGGCUGGUCGCGGCUGGGUCCGACAACCUCACCCUCGAGGCGCUCUUCCGGUCCGAGCCCGCGGCGGGGAGGCCCGUGCGCGCGCUGGUGCACGACCUCCCGGCUGCAUAUCGUGGAAGGGGCUGCCGAGUGUUGUUGGUCAACUCGUUCCAUGAUACCGAGCUGACGGUGAGGUACCUUGCUCUUGCCCGCAACCUGUUUGCUGUUUUGCUCAAGAGGCAGGUGGACCAAAACCCAGCUGGAGUGAUAAGAUGA